UGGACAGUUUAUUGUAUUCGACUGUAUUCACGGUGUGAACAGGGAAUUACACUAUUUUUAAACGAAAAGUGAAUCAAUUAACAUAAUUGACUCUU
RNAcentral lists this microRNA precursor (95 nucleotides) under Nicotiana sylvestris (wood tobacco). RNAcentral's name for it is "MIR6152 microRNA precursor family". It matches the Rfam family "MIR6152 microRNA precursor family". Lineage: Eukaryota; Viridiplantae; Streptophyta; Magnoliopsida; Solanales; Solanaceae. The record is from Rfam by way of RNAcentral.